UCGCCUGUUUUACAAAAACAUGUCCCUCUUUACUAUAAAGGGUCUGCCCUGCUCACUGAGUAUUAAAGAGCCGCUUAAAGUGUUAAAGUAGCAUAAUCAAUUGUCCUCUUAUUAAGGUCUUGAAUGAACGGGAGGAUUACUAAUAAAUUUUUAAUCUUGAAAAAUAAAAACUUGAAUUUUGAUUAAAAAUGUUUAAAUUCCACAAGGGGACGAGAAGACCCUAGGAUCUUUACAACAGAUUAAGUGUGUUUAAUUGGGGAAAUUUGAAAAAUAAACUUUUCUACCUUUCAUCCACUUUGGGUGUUUUUUUAAGAUAAAAAUAAGUUAAAAUAAAAUUACCCUAGGGAUAACAGAGCUAUAACAAGUUAGGUGACCAAAGUUUAAUUUGUGAUUGCGACCUCGAUGUUGAAUUAAAGUUUAAAGCCCGGUAGCUCGGGCUUAAUUUUAGUCUGUUCGACUACGUAACUUUACGUGAUCUGAGUUCCAGACCCGGA
RNAcentral lists this ribosomal RNA (494 nucleotides) under Liposcelis bostrychophila. Its description in RNAcentral is "partial 16S ribosomal RNA". It matches the Rfam family "Archaeal large subunit ribosomal RNA", at positions 1888 to 2691 of the family's 2987-position model. The record is from RNAcentral. Lineage: Eukaryota; Metazoa; Arthropoda; Insecta; Psocodea; Liposcelididae.